GUGAAUCAUCGAAUUUUUGAACGCAAAUUGCACUCUCCGGUUUUCCGGGAGAGUAUGCCUGUUUGAGGGUCUGUUUAAUAAAUAAUCGAGUCUGCUGCGGUUUUGGCGCUUCGGAAUUGGGUCAUCUUCCACCUUUCUUGGGUUUAGGCGACCUAAAAUUUUUCUGACGAUUUUUACGAACGUUUCUAUGAAUCUUUCUUGUACGUUCGCGACAUCGAAUUCAUAUUAUCGUCG
Molecule: unclassified non-coding RNA, 234 nt
Filed under: Glomus sp.
Lineage: Eukaryota; Fungi; Glomeromycota; Glomeromycetes; Glomerales; Glomeraceae
Description: partial contains 5.8S ribosomal RNA and internal transcribed spacer 2
Rfam family: 5.8S ribosomal RNA (bases 1-72)
Source: RNAcentral